AAUAAAUUUUCAACUAUAAAAAUAUUAAUUGAUGAAUUAAGUUUGCAGUGAAUUAUUAAUUUUUUAUAAAAAUGAAAAUUUUGCUUUUAGCAAGAUCUAGUAUGAGAAGAGUUGAAACAACAAGUGCCAUGACCUCACCAGAACAUACAAGUCGUAGCAGAACAAAAGGUGUAUCUCAGUCACAGCCCAGUAGUCGUUCUGGUUCUCCAUCAUCAAGGUUAAGCUAUGCUACAUACCACUAUCAGUCAGAUGGUUCUGGAGGUCGUGUUAGAAGAAAAUCUGGUAUUCCUACAGCUACGGGUACUAGUAGAGAAACAAGUCCUAGUCGAAGUCCAUAUGCUGG
RNAcentral lists this long non-coding RNA (343 nucleotides) under Androctonus crassicauda. The record is from RNAcentral. Lineage: Eukaryota; Metazoa; Arthropoda; Arachnida; Scorpiones; Buthidae.